UGGGAACCUUCCCUAUGGGUUACGGGAAUAGCUCAGGGAAACUUGGGGCAAUACCGGAUAAGCCCUUCGGGGGAAAGAUUUAUCGCCAUUGGAUGGGCCCGCGUCGGAUUAGCUAGUUGGUGAGGUAACGGCUCACCAAGGCAACGAUCCGUAGCUGGUCUGAGAGGAUGAUCAGCCACACUGGGACUGAGACACGGCCCAGACUCCUACGGGAGGCAG
This 219-nucleotide ribosomal RNA is filed under the name uncultured bacterium. RNAcentral describes it as "partial 16S ribosomal RNA". It matches the Rfam family "Bacterial small subunit ribosomal RNA", at positions 118 to 351 of the family's 1533-position model. The record is from RNAcentral.